GCGUAUGGUGUCAGGGUCAGGCGGGGUCCUGCGUGUGUCCCGGUGGCUAAGUGUGCCAUAGGCGUAUGGUGUCAGGGUCAGGCGGGGUCCUGCGUGUGUCCUGGUGGCUAAGUGUGCCAUAGGCGUAUGGUGUCAGGGUCAGGCGGGGUCCUGCGUGUGUCCUGGUGGCUAAGUGUGCCGUAGGCGUAUGGUGUCAGGGUCAGGCGGGGUCCUGCGUGUGUCCUGGUGGCUAAGUGUGCCGUAGGCGUAUGGUGUCAGGGUCAGGUGGGGUUGCAUGUGUCCUGGUGGCUAAGUGUGCCGUAGGCGUAUGGUGUCAGGGUCAGGUGGGGUUGCAUGUGUCCUGGUGGCUAAGUGUGCCGUAGGCGUAUGGUGUCAGGGUCAGGCGGGGCCGUAGCUCCUGGAUAAAUGCUACUACUGCAGAUUGCACGCAGGCCUCUGCUGUGAUCUAUAGCUGCUGCUGCUGCUGCUGCAUAGUUACCAUGGCUGGUCAGGAAUACCUCCAGCCCUGGAGCACACUGAACUCAAUAAAUGUGUACCAGAGAUUACGCAAUUA
Molecule: long non-coding RNA, 553 nt
Organism: Anguilla rostrata (American eel)
Lineage: Eukaryota; Metazoa; Chordata; Actinopteri; Anguilliformes; Anguillidae
Exons: 2
Source: RefSeq, a predicted model, not a curated record